UGGGGUUUUGGCUCAGUGGUAGAGCGCUUGCCGAGCAUGCAUGAGGCACUGGGUUCGAUCCUCAGCACCACAU
This 73-nucleotide transfer RNA is filed under the name Marmota monax (woodchuck). RNAcentral describes it as "tRNA.Ala". The record is from RNAcentral. Lineage: Eukaryota; Metazoa; Chordata; Mammalia; Rodentia; Sciuridae.